This 467-nucleotide ribosomal RNA is filed under the name uncultured bacterium. Its description in RNAcentral is "partial 16S ribosomal RNA". It matches the Rfam family "Bacterial small subunit ribosomal RNA", at positions 28 to 507 of the family's 1533-position model. The record is from RNAcentral.
GAUGAACGCUGACAGAAUGCUUAACACAUGCAAGUCAACUUGAAUUUGGGUUUUUAACUUAGGUUUGGGUGGCGGACGGGUGAGUAACGCGUAAAGAACUUGCCUCACAGCUAGGGACAACAUUUGGAAACGAAUGCUAAUACCUAAUAUUAUGAUAAUAGGGCAUCCUAUAAUUAUGAAAGCUAUAAGCGCUGUGAGAGAGCUUUGCGUCCCAUUAGCUAGUUGGAGAGGUAACGGCUCACCAAGGCGAUGAUGGGUAGCCGGCCUGAGAGGGUGAUCGGCCACAAGGGGACUGAGACACGGCCCUUACUCCUACGGGAGGCAGCAGUGGGGACUAUUGGACAAUGGACCGAGAGUCUGAUCCAGCACUUCUGUGUGCACGAUGAAGUUUUUCGGAAUGUAAAGUGCUUUCAGUUGGGAAGAAACAAAUGACGGUACCAACAGAAGAAGUGACGGCUAAAUACGUG